UUGAGACGUCCUCCUCAGCGCGCAGGCUUCACGGUACCAACCGUGCGGUAUCAUCGCUACAUGAUGAGUGCACUGCCCCAACCAUUGAAGCAUCACAAGGUGCUUGCCUGCCGCCGCCGCCGCUGAUACGUACACGAUUGCUGCCACACAACCAACACAUCACACCCAACAAUCACAACAACAAAACAACUGAGACCCGCCGCCGUGCAACGCACACUGUACACGCCCCAGGGCCGAGAACACAACGCAACACAAGCACCUGACAUGCCUCAUCCAGGCAUGCGUCACUCAAUCGCCCACCGAGCCGACCUCGCACACGCCGUUCGUGAGCCCCUGCGGCUGACAUGCCCGGCCCUGCCCCCUUGGCACCGCAGCCCUGCCGCCUUGGCACCGCCGCCCAUUGCCCCACCCCCAUGCUGCGUGCCAUGUAAGAAUAAAGCCAGGUCCCCAUCAAGCCGCAGCAUAUAUCCCCGCCAAGCCACCAGACUCCUCUUGCCGCACGCUACCAACCACCACCAGCACAGGACCGGCACCUGCCUGUCCCCCUGUUUAGUUUGGGCUGAUAUUUACAACCCCCCACCCUCCCCUCCCCACCUUCCCCAUUGCCAACCUCGCCCACCGCGCCGACAUGCACGCCGGCACCUCGCUCGUGCCUCUCGAGGCCUCCCAUCUUCCGUAGCUAGAGAUCCCUGUCCACGAGUAUCCACUUGGGCUCCAGCCCACUCCUGAUGCACACGCCGGCAUUACCCAGGUCUGCAUGGUUUGCAUGCCUGCCUGUCUACCGUGCACGCACACCUGCCUAGCUACGCAGACCUACUACCGUCCUUUUUGACCCGCCUCCGCCGCCACCGCCGCCGUCUCCUCCCUCUGGCCGCCGUGCCGGCCGCGCCAGCAGCUGCUGUUGUGGGUUGCCGCCAGAGCCGCCGCCGCCCUUGUUGCUGUUGGUGGUGGUGGUUGCGGGCUGGUGUGGCGCGGCCGUAGUGACAGCCGCAGCGCCGCCCACGGCACCCGCUGUCACUGUUUCCACCGCCACCGCCGGCUGCUGCAGCCGGCGCAGCAGGUAGGCCUCCUGCUCGGAAGGAGUCAGGAAGUCCCAUUCCCAGUACGGCACUAGUAGGACGCCGCCCUCCUUAAACGCCCGCCGCAGCUGCCGAAUGCGAAUGGCCGUACCCCCUUCCACAGCAGCGCUGGGGUCUUGCUGCUGCGUUUGUGUCAAGAGGUAACGUUUCGGUCCGAGGAACUCCACCGCCGCCUGCUGCCCGUCACUCAGCCGCACCACCGCAUCCACUGGCGCCAACACUCCUGGCGCGACAACGCCCGUCUGAAGGGACUGAACGGCUAGGCCCCCUGCUGCCUUGAGGCCCUGCUGCUCAAGCCGCCGCAGCGCUGCAACGACCUGCUUUUGAGUAUCUGAUGUGGGCUUGGCGUCUUCCCUCUCAGUAGUCACCGCCGCUGCCAUCGCCGCCUGCAGUCCGCUGCCGCUGCCCAGGGCCGCCGCCACCUCGCCGCCUAGCUCCUGCUGCGCCUGCCACAGCUGUUUGAGAUGCUCAGUUGUAAGACCCUCCCAACGGCUUACUGCUUCACGGGCCAGCUGAAUGGAUAGCUGCUUCAUGUCGGGAGAAUACGUGCCUCCGAACACAGCCAUGGCCCACAGGCUGUUGCAUACGUGCUGGUGCAGGACUGUGUCAGAGUCAUGCUGCAGCAGCUCGCCCAGCCGACCGCACACCGCCGCCUCCAAGCCAGCGUGCCGCAGCUGCAGCACCGCCAGCGCGUACAGCGUAUUGGCACAGUUCUGACCACCGGCACUACUGGCGCGCAUGGCUGCUACUGCUGCGCCCGAGUCAAGCAGCUCCGCCGGCGGCUGGUGGCGCAUCAACGCAAGCGCGUACAGCAGAUUGGACCAGGCCUGAGAUGUUGCGCGGGCCAUGGCGCCCGACUGCGUUGCUGCGUCCACCGCUGCUGAAACCCACUGCCGCUGCUCGGCCGGCGCCUCCGGGCCCGCCCCAAAUCCCAUCUUGGCUAGGGCCCACGCUGAGUUGCUGAGGUCCUGAGCGAUGUACCCGUCAAACCCCCGCCGCACGUCCUCUGCGGCCACUGCCACCACCAGCUCUGCCUGCUCGCUGCAUAGCUGCAGCCCCUCCAGCGCCAGCAGGAUGUUGGAUAGCUGUUGCGGGAUAAAUGCUGCAGCGAGCUCCGGUUUCCGGAGCCGCUGCAGUGCCUCCCCGCACAGCGCCUCAACUGCUGACCGGUACUCUGGUCCUGUGCACCCCAGAGCUUUGAGAGCCCAUAGGCUGUUUGAAACAUCUUGCGGCUUGAAGCCGUGGCCCGCCACCGUUCUCAAGCGAGAAGCCACAGCUGCCGCCAAGGUCUGCAAGUGUGGCGAUGAGGUGGGGUCCCAGCCUGAGCCCCGCUGCUGCUGGUCUUGCUUGAGCUUGCCGAGCGCGUACAUGACAAUUGCGAGGUUCUGAGGUUCCGCCUUCCCAAGAACCUCAGGAUCCACUAGCCGCUCCAGCAGAGCUGCUGCAAGCUGAGCCUCCGUGCCGCCGCCGACCAAUCCAGCUUUGCCCAGCGCCCACAGCGGAAUGCUGCAGUUCUUUGCGUUGCGGAUGCGCGGCACGAGCGGCAGGUAGGCCGGCGCAAGCAUGCCGAUAAUGCUGCUGCGUGCUACAGCCGUUUGGCUUGCUCCAGCGCGCGACUCCAGCUGCGUUCAAAGCAGUUAUGAGGGACAUACAUGGGGUCAAGUGCUAUAUGCAUGUGUUUGUGCGUGUGCGUGAACAGGUGCGCAUGCAAGUCCUGUGUGGCCAUCUGCGUCGUGAGAACCGGAAGUCCGGGCCGAGAACGACAACAAUGGACUCGCCCUCCAUUCUGCACUUCAUUUCUGUGCCCAUUCCCACCUGCACGUAUUAGUCCUCCCUCUCACCUUGCCGCACAGGUUGAACGCCGCACACAUGGUAAUGAAGUCUUUUCGGCCCUCCCACACUGAUAGCCGCUGGCUGAUGAUUGCUUGCAGCUCCUCCAGAGUCCGACACACGGUCAUGUCAUCCGCGGGGUCACGCCCGCUGCCCCUGCUUCUGCCGCUGGCGCGGCUGCCAUCGCCUGCCCUGCCUCCGCCGCUUCCCCUACCCNNNNNNNNNNNNNNNNNNNNNNNNNNNNNNNNNNNNNNNNNNNNNNNNNNNNNNNNNNNNNNNNNNNNNNNNNNNNNNNNNNNNNNNNNNNNNNNNNNNNGAGAAUAACGCAAGGAACGAAAGGUCAGGUGCGUGUAGGUCGCUGGGCCAAAGCCGCCUGAGUAGCUGUGGCUUGGUAUGGAUGAUAAAGCAACUGAAUCAAUUUGCCACCGGUGUUGAGGCGAGGGCGACCUGACCGCGAAAUACACGGCCCGAGGGCACGCCCCGUAUCAACACCCCUCGCGACCUCCAAACACGUGCACUGAACCGCGAAGCCCUCCCCCAAGCCUAUCGCGGCUGCUAUUCCCAUGUCCUCCUCCCCAACCAUUCUGCAUACAGGCUCUGGCGUGAGUCCCUGCCCGCGUCAUUUGACACCCGUCGACCACGACUGAGGUGCAACGCAUGUCGCUUACAAAUCCAACAUCCCGCCCGACACGAGAGGGGCAGAAACGGCGGGGCAGACGGCCAGCCUCUUGAACAUGAGCAUAGCAGUGCAAUAUCGCACAUUGGGUCCCCGCCUGCUUCACCUGGCCACCUUUGCUGAUUUGUCUGACAUCCCUGUCUACACACUUUUAUCCGCCCACGCUUGAGACGUCCUCCUCAGCGCGCAGGCUUCACGGUACCAACCGUGCGGUAUCAUCGCUACAUGAUGAGUGCACUGCCCCAACCAUUGAAGCAUCACAAGGUGCUUGCCUGCCGCCGCCGCCGCUGAUACGUACACGAUUGCUGCCACACAACCAACACAUCACACCCAACAAUCACAACAACAAAACAACUGAGACCCGCCGCCGUGCAACGCACACUGUACACGCCCCAGGGCCGAGAACACAACGCAACACAAGCACCUGACAUGCCUCAUCCAGGCAUGCGUCACUCAAUCGCCCACCGAGCCGACCUCGCACACGCCGUUCGUGAGCCCCUGCGGCUGACAUGCCCGGCCCUGCCCCCUUGGCACCGCAGCCCUGCCGCCUUGGCACCGCCGCCCAUUGCCCCACCCCCAUGCUGCGUGCCAUGUAAGAAUAAAGCCAGGUCCCCAUCAAGCCGCAGCAUAUAUCCCCGCCAAGCCACCAGACUCCUCUUGCCGCACGCUACCAACCACCACCAGCACAGGACCGGCACCUGCCUGUCCCCCUGUUUAGUUUGGGCUGAUAUUUACAACCCCCCACCCUCCCCUCCCCACCUUCCCCAUUGCCAACCUCGCCCACCGCGCCGACAUGCACGCCGGCACCUCGCUCGUGCCUCUCGAGGCCUCCCAUCUUCCGUAGCUAGAGAUCCCUGUCCACGAGUAUCCACUUGGGCUCCAGCCCACUCCUGAUGCACACGCCGGCAUUACCCAGGUCUGCAUGGUUUGCAUGCCUGCCUGUCUACCGUGCACGCACACCUGCCUAGCUACGCAGACCUACUACCGUCCUUUUUGACCCGCCUCCGCCGCCACCGCCGCCGUCUCCUCCCUCUGGCCGCCGUGCCGGCCGCGCCAGCAGCUGCUGUUGUGGGUUGCCGCCAGAGCCGCCGCCGCCCUUGUUGCUGUUGGUGGUGGUGGUUGCGGGCUGGUGUGGCGCGGCCGUAGUGACAGCCGCAGCGCCGCCCACGGCACCCGCUGUCACUGUUUCCACCGCCACCGCCGGCUGCUGCAGCCGGCGCAGCAGGUAGGCCUCCUGCUCGGAAGGAGUCAGGAAGUCCCAUUCCCAGUACGGCACUAGUAGGACGCCGCCCUCCUUAAACGCCCGCCGCAGCUGCCGAAUGCGAAUGGCCGUACCCCCUUCCACAGCAGCGCUGGGGUCUUGCUGCUGCGUUUGUGUCAAGAGGUAACGUUUCGGUCCGAGGAACUCCACCGCCGCCUGCUGCCCGUCACUCAGCCGCACCACCGCAUCCACUGGCGCCAACACUCCUGGCGCGACAACGCCCGUCUGAAGGGACUGAACGGCUAGGCCCCCUGCUGCCUUGAGGCCCUGCUGCUCAAGCCGCCGCAGCGCUGCAACGACCUGCUUUUGAGUAUCUGAUGUGGGCUUGGCGUCUUCCCUCUCAGUAGUCACCGCCGCUGCCAUCGCCGCCUGCAGUCCGCUGCCGCUGCCCAGGGCCGCCGCCACCUCGCCGCCUAGCUCCUGCUGCGCCUGCCACAGCUGUUUGAGAUGCUCAGUUGUAAGACCCUCCCAACGGCUUACUGCUUCACGGGCCAGCUGAAUGGAUAGCUGCUUCAUGUCGGGAGAAUACGUGCCUCCGAACACAGCCAUGGCCCACAGGCUGUUGCAUACGUGCUGGUGCAGGACUGUGUCAGAGUCAUGCUGCAGCAGCUCGCCCAGCCGACCGCACACCGCCGCCUCCAAGCCAGCGUGCCGCAGCUGCAGCACCGCCAGCGCGUACAGCGUAUUGGCACAGUUCUGACCACCGGCACUACUGGCGCGCAUGGCUGCUACUGCUGCGCCCGAGUCAAGCAGCUCCGCCGGCGGCUGGUGGCGCAUCAACGCAAGCGCGUACAGCAGAUUGGACCAGGCCUGAGAUGUUGCGCGGGCCAUGGCGCCCGACUGCGUUGCUGCGUCCACCGCUGCUGAAACCCACUGCCGCUGCUCUGCCGGCGCCUCCGGGCCCGCCCCAAAUCCCAUCUUGGCUAGGGCCCACGCUGAGUUGCUGAGGUCCUGAGCGAUGUACCCGUCAAACCCCCGCCGCAUGUCCUCUUCGGCCACUGCCACCACCAGCUCUGCCUGCUCGCUGCAUAGCUGCAGCCCCUCCAGCGCCAGCAGGAUGUUGGAUAGCUGUUGCGGGAUAAAUGCUGCAGCGAGCUCCGGUUUCCGGAGCUGCUGCAGUGCCUCCCCGCACAGCGCCUCAACUGCUGACCGGUACUCUGGUCCUGUGCACCCCAGAGCUUUGAGAGCCCAUAGGCUGUUUGAAACAUCUUGCGGCUUGAAGCCGUGGCCCGCCACCGUUCUCAAGCGAGAAGCCACAGCUGCCGCCAAGGUCUGCAAGUGCGGAGAUGAGGUGGGGUCCCAGCCUGAGCCCCGCUGCUGCUGGUCUUGCUUGAGCUUGCCGAGCGCGUACAUGACAAUUGCGAGGUUCUGAGGUUCCGCCUUCCCAAGAACCUCAGGAUCCACUAGCCGCUCCAGCAGAGCUGCUGCAAGCUGAGCCUCCGUGCCGCCGCCGACCAAUCCAGCUUUGCCCAGCGCCCACAGCGGAAUGCUGCAGUUCUUUGCGUUGCGGAUGCGCGGCACGAGCGGCAGGUAGGCCGGCGCAAGCAUGCCGAUAAUGCUGCUGCGUGCUACAGCCGUUUGGCUUGCUCCAGCGCGCGACUCCAGCUGCGUUCAAAGCAGUUAUGAGGGACAUACAUGGGGUCAAGUGCUAUAUGCAUGUGUUUGUGCGUGUGCGUGAACAGGUGCGCAUGCAAGUCCUGUGUGGCCAUCUGCGUCGUGAGAACCGGAAGUCCGGGCCGAGAACGACAACAAUGGACUCGCCCUCCAUUCUGCACUUCAUUUCUGUGCCCAUUCCCACCUGCACGUAUUAGUCCUCCCUCUCACCUUGCCGCACAGGUUGAACGCCGCACACAUGGUAAUGAAGUCUUUUCGGCCCUCCCACACUGAUAGCCGCUGGCUGAUGAUUGCUUGCAGCUCCUCCAGAGUCCGACACACGGUCAUGUCAUCCGCGGGGUCACGCCCGCUGCCCCUGCUUCUGCCGCUGGCGCGGCUGCCAUCGCCUGCCCUGCCUCCGCCGCUUCCCCUACCCGCCGCCGCCUGCACUAUUGGCCGCCCGAGGCGGGAGCUACUGCUGCCGCAGAGCACUACCGCCGUCGAGACGCGCAGUGGGGAUGAGCUGCUACUGUUGAGUGCUGGGACAGAAGUAGCGGCGGCAGCGCGCGGUGAGCUGGGGCCGGUGUCGGCAGCGGUCCGAUGCAUGCCAUAAACGAACAGUCUUCUAAACGCGCACGCCGGUGGCGGUGCCUGGAGACGGGCUGAUAACGAUUGGCUACAGCCAUGUACGCUGUGCCUGUGCGCACCAGCGGGAGAGCCCGCGACGACGCGCAGGGCGAGCAUCUCGGGCCUCCUCACGGCGGCGACCUGAGCUAUAGCGACUCUAUCCGUCUACGUGUCUGAGCACUGCAAAUGCAUUAGGCUUGCAUUUGUGGGAGAAUAACGCAAGGAACGAAAGGUCAGGUGCGUGUAGGUCGCUGGGCCAAAGCCGCCUGAGUAGCUGUGGCUUGGUAUGGAUGAUAAAGCAACUGAAUCAAUUUGCCACCGGUGUUGAGGCGAGGGCGACCUGACCGCGAAAUACACGGCCCGAGGGCACGCCCCGUAUCAACACCCCUCGCGACCUCCAAACACGUGCACUGAACCGCGAAGCCCUCCCCCAAGCCUAUCGCGGCUGCUAUUCCCAUGUCCUCCUCCCCAACCAUUCUGCAUACAGGCUCUGGCGUGAGUCCCUGCCCGCGUCAUUUGACACCCGUCGACCACGACUGAGGUGCAACGCAUGUCGCUUACAAAUCCAACAUCCCGCCCGACACGAGAGGGGCAGAAACGGCGGGGCAGACGGCCAGCCUCUUGAACAUGAGCAUAGCAGUGCAAUAUCGCACAUUGGGUCCCCGCCUGCUUCACCUGGCCACCUUUGCUGAUUUGUCUGACAUCCCUGUCUACACACUUUUAUCCGCCCACGCUUGAGACGUCCUCCUCAGCGCGCAGGCUUCACGGUACCAACCGUGCGGUAUCAUCGCUACAUGAUGAGUGCACUGCCCCAACCAUUGAAGCAUCACAAGGUGCUUGCCUGCCGCCGCCGCCGCUGAUACGUACACGAUUGCUGCCACACAACCAACACAUCACACCCAACAAUCACAACAACAAAACAACUGAGACCCG
This 7999-nucleotide long non-coding RNA is filed under the name Chlamydomonas reinhardtii. RNAcentral's name for it is "long non-coding RNA (CREI_LNC001184)". Lineage: Eukaryota; Viridiplantae; Chlorophyta; Chlorophyceae; Chlamydomonadales; Chlamydomonadaceae. The record is from RNAcentral.